GGAAAAGCUGUGAACUCUGAAAUUGCAGAAUCUGUUCAUCACUGUGGGAAGUAUGUUCCUGGAAUUUAAGGUUUCUUAGGAGACAGACUGGAUGAGAGCAACUGCCCUAAAAUCCAGUCCCAAGAGAGAGGCAAGAAGAAGAAAACAGUUCAGUGGGGCUUGAAAACUUACGUUUUUUCUUGUAAAAAGGAGAAGAUAUCCAAAAGAGACCUCAUGGUUUUUGCUCUUUCUAUUCUGAUUUACUUUGAAGAUGAAUCAGGUGCAGUGUGUUUGCAACAUGUAAAUUGUACUUCAAACAGAUCCACUCUCCUUUCUAAGACUGAAAUGAAGCUCCCAGUUUGCAAACUGUCUUAUAUGCACAGUAAAUUCUUACUAAAUAUUACCUAUUGAUUUGAUGGUGUUAAUUUUGCUCAUUCUGAAUUUUUGACAGUUCACGGCAUCAGAAGUGGAAUCUGAAGAACCUCAAGGUCUCUGAGGCCAGUGAGGAACCAGGUCCUGGGGCCCUCAGAGCCCUGUGAGCGCACUGCUUUCUCAGUGACUUUAGAGUUUGAGACCACUCACACAUCAAAUGAUGUCCAUCAGGAUUAGACAACUUAAAGAAGUUAAUUCUCUGACCACCCAUGUCCAUGAUGACGAUGCAACCGUUGAUAACAGUCACCAUGUGACCAUCCCUCCUGACUACUCAACUAGCAGAAUCAACAAGGAUGUGAGUCUUCAUCCUGGCUUCAUCAACAGUGGUAACCCAGCCUAACAGUAUAAUAUUUGGUCACACUCUCAGCUUGCUGAGACAAUAGCCAAAAGAAGGCAAUUGUUAAAAGUAAGUGCAAAAUGGAUACAACAAUUGAGAAUUCCCUGAGCAGACAAUACCUUUUAAGCCACAUAAGCAAGACUAAGUCUAGCUUAUUUCAUGAAUGUAAGUGAAGCUUAACUUAGGUUAUUUUUUGUAAGUCCUUCUGAAAAUCAUAAAAGAAACUUAAAUCAUCUUCCUAAGAAUGAUAUAACAUAAUCAUUUUUAACCUAUCUCCUGCCAUCUCGAAACAUCCAUUGUAAUAACCAAUCAUUGUAAAGAUUAAUGACUUCCCAAUUUUCACUUUAUAAGCCAUCCUAUAAUUUCAUGCUCCUGAGCUUCAUAUCACUCUGAAUUUGGAAUCGCCCAGUUUGUGAACUGUCUUAUAUGCACAAUAAACUCUUACUAAUACUAUUUAUUGAUUUGGUAGUUUUCAUUUUGCUAUUUCUGAUUUCGAC
Molecule: long non-coding RNA, 1245 nt
Filed under: Equus caballus (horse)
Lineage: Eukaryota; Metazoa; Chordata; Mammalia; Perissodactyla; Equidae
Description: lncRNA (ENSECAG00000050361.1)
Source: RNAcentral